AAGAAUCAUUAAUCACAUCAUUCACAUGCUCCCAUUAAAACAAGCAAACUCCAUAAUAACGACAAAGUUCAAGACAAACAAAUCACCAAUUCCAUAUAUAAGAUAAUUUCUUGAACUUUCUUGAGUAGCUAAUUUUGUACAAGUAAUUAGCUUGUUGAAAUAAAAGAAAGAAAUACCUUAAAAGUAAUAAAAUUCAAAAUUUACUCGAGAGAAGAACAUUCUUUUUUGAUUGUGGACUUAGAGAUCAUGCUU
Molecule: long non-coding RNA, 252 nt
Organism: Hibiscus syriacus
Lineage: Eukaryota; Viridiplantae; Streptophyta; Magnoliopsida; Malvales; Malvaceae
Exons: 3
Source: RefSeq, a predicted model, not a curated record